CGUAACCUGUUCACUGUCUUGUGCUCUCUCUCUGCUAACCCGAGAUUUCCUCAUAGCACGAGAGAGUUUCACCUCUCAUCCUGGAUUUUAAGGAGAUUUGGCAGGCAUUUGCUUGUGAGAUAAGCUAGGUGCUGUGUGUUUAAGGUCAACCUUUUUGUACUUGACCCUGAGAUCCUUGGAUUAGCGUUGGUUCUGUCAGCAGCUGGAAGGACCUGGUCACACUUGCUGCAACUGUGUGUGUGAAUGAAAUGCCUGCACGUCAUCACUCUUUCCUCUGAAUUUGUUCAUUAUACACUGAUUCUAUGGCACCUCCAUGGAUGUAGUUGGCAUUCUAAAUGUGUUUGGAUAUGGGUUGCUAUGUGUGUAUGUGGAAGUAUAUGUGGUGUUUUACUCAGGAUCACGACGUCUGGGACCUUUGAUGGGGUCUGAGGAUUUGUUUGAUCAACACUUUGCAGGUCAUGAUAGUGAUGAGUACGUGGAGGCCCACACUGAUCAACAGAGCACUUUGCUCCUUCUGUAUACUUUGGUGGCACCCAGGACUCUCCCGAGGGGAGGAGGUGCUAUAAAUCCUCUUCCCUGUCAAACUUAGUUAUGCCCUCUGGGAAUUCAUGUAACGAUAGAAACCAAGGAUUGAGUAUACCUGCUUUCAAAACAAGAGAAAUGUCAUCACAGCUUUCUCUUGGGCCCAAAGCUGUGGCACAGACUGGAGGAAUCUUCUUCCUGAACUAGUCAAUUCCAUCAUGCUCACCUGGCCAGCUCUUGAAGGUCAGGUCCCUCCAACUGGUACCGUGACUCUGUUGUCCUGUGCCCAGGAUAAUAAACUUAACCAGUACAAAUACUUCGAAGGAGCAAAUAUGUAGUACAUACUGAGUUUAAGUAAUCGAGAGAACAGUCUGAUUUCACCUAAUUUGUUUCACCUGCUUUGAUCUUUAGUUUUUUAUUUUUUUAACUAUCCAGGGAUUGUUUAUUGUGACCUAGAAAUGGUCACUGUGGUCUUGACAGUUGUUAUUCCCAAACAGGCAGCUCUCAGGCUCUGCCCACUCCUAUAUAGUGAGUCUUUGCAGAACCAUAUCUCCCCAGGAUUCCAAGGAGCCCUUAUUUCAAAACAAAUGUUUGCUUAUUUACAUGGAAAUAUUUUCUGUGGAUUAAGCCUCACUGUUGGGUUUUGGUCUGGUUUUUGAGUUUGCCACUUUCUUCCCUUCCACCAUUCCUUGAAUUUGAAAUUUUUUAUUAUAUAUUUUUUAUUUACACUUCACCUAAUUCUGAAAUCAUGAGUUCAAAACAUUAUUUGUUCCUUUGGCCAUGACCUAACCCAGGCUGGAUGUCGAAUUGCCAGUCCUUCAAUCCGAACAUGAGAUGAGAAUGAUGGCUAUGCAAAUGAUGACCAACUCAAUAAGUGAUGCCAUGGAGAGGUACAAGGAGCUCAUACAAGUGAACAGUUCCUACCGGUGAGUCGUUGACAGAGAUGAGAACCCAGCACUAGCGAGGGAAUGCUUCUGUCCUGUAUGACUUUGAACCAAAGUCAGGGCUCUGGUUCUGCAGUCUGACUCUUAACAAGAAGCCUGCCUUGUGGCAAGGGUCUUAGAUUUGUAGCUCUUGGAAAAGUUGUCCUACAUGUGAAGGGUGUAGAAGACCCUCAAUCGUUAUUUUCCCCAUUAAGGAUCCUCUAGAUAGAAAAGGUUUGCACCAUGAUGGGAAUAUCAAUCAACUCUUAAUCUCUAGGACUCUGACAGGUUGUCUAUGAUCCAUGAGAAACACAUGGAAAAUUUGUACAGCUAUUGGGUCUUCUAUCCUCCCUCAGAGUGGAUGUGACCUCUACUUGCAGAUGACUUCAGCAUACUAAGGACAUAUGAGCUCCCUUAUGGACCAUUUCUUCUACCUUGAUUUAUAUAAACCGUCGUAGUGUCAGGAUUUUCAGAAGUACUUUGAUUCACAGGGAUGUGUCCUCUGGAUUUGACCUCCUCUAAUUGAUGCUAACCUGUAUAGUGUGGCUCUAUUCUGGGGAUGUCUGGGGAUGAGGACCCUUGAAGGGAUGACUGGACUUGCAGGAGUGAUAGGCAAAUAGAAGCUGGCUGGGAUUUACCAUUUUUUGUUUGUGGUUCAGCAUCAGGCACUCCCAGAUCCUGCUUGAACAAGCUCAAUUGAAGAACAAUAUACAGAUUUUGCUGAAUGAGAAGAGAGAACUGCUGGUGGAGCAGACUGAACUCCCAGCAUCCUCUGUGCAGGCAAAGAGGUUCUGUGAAGAGGCCGGAAUGAACAUCUGUGACCUCAGAGCCAAGCCACAGCAGGUCUGAAGGUCUCCAGCAGAAACUCGAACAUGACACAGACCAGGACAAGAACUCCCUUGGAGAGAAGAGCUACAGGAGGAGAACUAAGUGUGCACAGCAAAUACACCACUAUUGCGUCUCAUCUGUAGUGUCCAUAGCAAUUGUGGGCUGCAUUUUCCUUCUUUAGUUUGACUUCUUUGGAUUGUAUAUGUUGUAUUUUCACCUCGCCUCUCUCCAGCAAGUGUAAAUUUUUGGAGGGACCCAGAGAAGUGCUGAUGCACAUCAAUCAAGAGCUGCUGGUCAUCCAGAAAGACUGUGCACGUAUAAAUUUGUACUUGUCCUGAUGGGUCAUCCAGAAGAGUUUUGUGGAGAUCAGUUCACAACAUUGGAAAGACUUUGAGACAAAGUCUGUAAUAUCAUUUAUACUCAAUGUUGGAUGGCUUUUUCCUUAAUACCUCCACUCCAACAAAACAGACCUACUCCCACUCCUCUUGAAAAGAUUAUUACCAUCAGUAACUGCUUGUCUACUAUGUCUCCAAGGCAAGCCACAGGUUAUAAGUCUAUUCUGCAAAAGGAGCAGCAAAAGAAUGCUUAGCGCAAUUCCUCUAUUUAAAGUUUGGUUGAGUUUUGAUUAUUUUGGUUUUUUGGUUUUCCUUCUAUUCAUUUGAAGAUUUGUUAUUUAUGUGUUAUUUUGUUCAUUUGCUUUUCUAUUUUGAUAAGGAUAUAGACUGUAUAUAUUGACUACCUGCAUCUGGUUACUAUCAAGUAAAUUGGAUGUAUUCUGGUCAAUAAAGGAGUAAUAUCAAACUCUUCACUCUUAAGAACCUUCUUUAUUGAUCACUGGUGUCAACAUCUGAAGUCCCACAGCUAUUAGGGAGGGAUGGAUCUCUACAUUCUCAUGGGGACUGGGCAUCAAAAUUCCUUCCCAGUCAGACUGAGAUUCAAAGGCAAUUAUACAGUCACUGUUCACUGUGUUCCAAACUCUGUGAAUUUCAAGUUCAUCAUGCAUAUAUUACCUACUGUGUAUGCUUGCUAUCAAAUAUAUAGAACCUCUAAGUUAUACUCUGUGGAUGAGAGUGUUGAACAAAUUAAUGGGAUAAACAUUAAUUUUUCUGUAAUAUCUCCCAGGACAUAGAAACAUGGUAUGAGGGAGAUUAAAGCAAUUGGGAAGCCUGAACCCAAAUCCCGGGGCAGAGAAUGCUGAACACCCAGGAAUGCUUGUAAUCCUGAGACCACAGGACAGGAAGCCACUUCGGCCCAGCUCUGUCCACAUCUCUGGCUCAAUAUUAAUCUGCAUGCUGCCUCUGGAAACAGGAAUAGAGGAGCAGUCAGUGGCAGGAAACUGCGUGGUCCAUCCUGUGCCCAGAACCGACCCGGGCCCUGAGCAUAUUUAAAGAAAACCAGAGGCAUACAAUUCUCUGUUUCCUGACUGUGGCUUUUUUUAUUUGAAGCUCUAAACACCAUUUUGUUGUUGUUGAAUUUUAAUUGGAUAUUUUUCAUUUCGAAUUCAAAUGUUAUUCCUUCCUUGUUUUCCAGAAAUAAGUCCAAAUACCAUCGCCCUCCCCCUCUUCUAUAAAGGUGUUCCCUUCACCAUCCAGCCAGUUUCCCAGCCUAGGCAGGACCAAGGGCUGCUCAUUCCAUUUGUGCCCAAGAAGACCAACCUCUGAUACACAUGCAGAUGGAGCCAUGGCACAGUUCCUGUAUACUGUUUGGGUAGAGGUUUAGUGUCUGGGAAAUCUGCUUGGCAGGUAUGGUUGUUCUCAUAGGGUUGCAAGUCCCUUCAGCUCUUUCAAUCUUUCUAUAAUUCCUCCAACUGAGGUUCAGUUCUCAGUUCAAUGGUUUGAUGCUAGCAUUCGCCACUGUAUUUGACAUGAUCUGGCUGUGAAUCUCAGGAGACAUCUAUAUCCAGUUCCUGUCAGACUGCACCUCUUGGCUUCAUCCACCUUAUCUAGUUUGAAGGCUGUAUAUGUAUAGGCCACUCGUGGGGUAGACUCUGGAUGGCCAUUCCUCUAGGCUCUGUUCUAAAUUUUGCUUCCCUAUCCCUUCAAUAGGGAUUCUUCUUCUCCUUUAAAGGAAGGAGUGAAGCAUUAGCAUUUUGGUCAUCCUUCCUGAAUUUUAUUUGGUCUGUGAAUCUUGGGGAAUUCCAGCAUUUGGGCUAAUAUCCACUGAUCAGUGAGUGCAUACCAUGUGUGUGUUUCUGUGAUUGGGUUAGCUCACUCAGGAUGAUAUGUCUUAGUUCAUUCUCUUUGCCUAUGAAUUUCAUGAAGCUCAUUGUUUUUGAUAUCUCUGUAGUACUCCAUUGUGUAGAUGUACCACACUUUCUGUUUCUAUUCCUCUGUUGAAGGGCAUAUGGGAUCUUUUCAUUUUAUGACUAUUAUAAAUAUGGCCACUAUGAACAUAGUGGAGCAUGUGCCUUGUUGUAUGUUGGAGCAUCUUUUGGGUAUAUGUGUAAGAGAGGUAUAGUUGGGUCCUCAGCUAGUGCAAUGUCUAAUUUUCUGAGGAACCUCCAGACUGAUAUCCAGAAUGGUUGUACCAGUCUGCAAUCUCACCAACAAUGGAAGAGUGUUCCUCUUUCUCACAUCCGUGCAAGCAUCUUCUAUCGCCUGAGUGUUUUAUCUUAGGCAUUCAGACUGGUGUGAGGUGGAAUCUCAGGGUUGUUUUGAUUUGCAUUUCCUUUAUGACUAAAGAUGUUGAACAUUUCUUUUGGUGCUUCUCACCCAUUCCCUAUUCCUCAGCUGUGAAUUCUUUGUUUAGUUCUGAACUGCAAUUUUUAAUAGGAUUAUUAGUCUCCCUACAGUCCAACUUCAUGAGUUGUUUGUAUAUUUUGGAUAUUAGCCCUCUAUCAGUUCUAGGAUUAGUAAAGGUCUUUUCCCAAUCUGUUGGUUGCUGUUUUGUCCUAACCACAGUGUCCUUUGCCUUACAGAAGCUUUGUACCUUUAUGAGGUCCCAUUUGUCUUCUCUUGAUCUUAGAGCAUAAGCCAUUCGUGUUUUGUUCAGGAAAUUUUCUCCAGUGUCCUUGUGUUCAAGAUGCUUCCCCACUUUUGCUUCUAUUAGUUUGAGUGUAUCUGGUUUGAUGUAGAGGUUCUUGAUCCACCCGGACUUAAGCUUUGUACAGGGCAAUAAGCAGGGGAUGAUUUGUCCUCUUCCAUAUGCUGACCUCCAGUUGAACCAGCACCAUUUGCUGAAAAUGCUAUCCUUUGUCCACUGGAUGCUUUUGUCUCCUUUGUCAAAAAAUCAAGUGACCAUAGGUGUGUGGGUUCAUUUCUGUGUCUGCAGUUCUAUUCCACUGGUCUAUCUUCCUGUCUCUGUACCAAUACCAUACAGUUUUUAUCACUAAUGCUCUGUAAACUGCUUGAGUUCAUGGAUGGUGAUUCCCAGGGAAGUCCUUUUAUUGUUGAGGAUAGUUUUAGCUAUCCUGCCUUACUUGUUAUUCCAAGUGAAUUUGCAAAUUAUUUCUUCUAACCCUAUGAAGAGUUGAUUUGGUAUUUUGAUAGGGGUUGCUUUCAAUCAGUAGUUCACUUUUGCAAAAAUGGCCAUUUUUACUCUCUUCAUCCUGCCAAGCCGUGAGCAUGGGAGAUCUUUCCAUCUUCUGAGACCUUCAAUUUCUUUCUUCAGACACCGGAAGUUCUUGUCCUACAGAUCUUUCACUUGCUUCAUAAAAGUCACACUGAUGUAUUUUUAUGUUAUUUGGGACUAUUAUGAAAGGUGUCAUUUCCCUACUUGUUUAUCUUUUGUGUAGAGGAAGGCUACUGAUUUGUUUGAGUUAAUUUUAUACCCAGCCACAUUGCCGAAGUUGUUUAUCAGUCUUAGGAUUUCUCUGGUCUAACUUUUGGGGUGUCUCAAUUAUACUGUCCUAUCGUCCUCAAUAGUGAUAAUUUUCUUCUUCCUUUCCAAUCUGUAUCCCUUUGACCUCCUCUUGUUGUCUGAUUGCAUUGGCUAAUGCUGGGGACAACAUACAAUGACAGGGACUGCCAGUAGUAGGCUGGGACGGAGACUUCUCAGAAUCCUGCAGCAGCUCCUUGUAAAAUAGGGUGGCUUUGGGAACCCUGAGUAUCAGGACACACAUCCCUCCACGAGAUCCACCAUCUGAAAUAAGAGGCUGCCUUCAGUAGUCCUGGAUGGAGACAUCUCAAUAGUCCGCAGUAGCUCUUUGUAAAAACUGGUUGUUUCCAUUUCCCUAACCUUAUCACUAGACAAGGGCUGUAUAGAUUUCAUUUGUGUGUGACUGCCUAUCAGUUGGCCUUGGUGUGCACAAUUAUAGUAUUAUAUCUGACUUUCCUAAGGGCUGUAUAGAUUUCAUUUGUGUGUGACUGCCUAUCAGUUGGCCUUGGUGUGCACAAUUAUUGUAUUAUAUCUGACUUUCCUACUUCUUUCUCCUUCUGCUCUGGUGAAUUCUGUGAAACUAGAUGUUCCUUGAUGUUAUGAUUCUUAGACAAUUGGAAAUUGAUGCAUAGGGGCACAGCACAGCACAGCCCUAGUGGCCCAGGUGGAUACUGUGUAUUCUCAUCUUGGAAAAAAUGUAAUAACUGCAGAAUUGUAGUUCCAGAUUAAGGUUUGACUUGCAAAGACAGCUUGAAGAAAAUAAGAGAAAAUGAAUUAGAGCCAACAUUGGGACCCUAAGAAAGGAAAAAGUUAUUGAAGUUAGGAUAUAAAUUUUCCAUAGUAUUUCAGACUGGUUACUGGAUAUGGAAGUAUAGAAUAUAUAAAAUAAUAUACUAGUAAACUAAGUCAAGCUACUGGAACUCUUAUGAGAGUCACUGAGUGCAAGGAACAGAAAGGUAGUGGAAUUACUGUGCUAAGAGUUACCUUGAUUCUUUCUGGCCACUGCCUGGCAGUUUUGCCUAUGUCAUUUAUCAUUAGAGCUUCACAGGAAAGUGCAGGUAGCUGACCUCGGAGCUUUGGUCUCUGAAGUAUAAAAGUAAAGAGUUAAAGUUUAAAUAAUGAUAAGUUUACAAUUAUUAUUAUUAUAUUAGCCACAGGUCUGUGUAUAGGGGAAGCCUGAAUCUUUGGGGAACAGUUGUAAUUCUUAGUUCUUGGUGAGAUGUAGUCAUUCCUUGCAUUUGAUUUGGCAAUGAUUAUAAAAUGUCUUUUUCCUACCCGCUUUUGGAUUAUUAAUAAAGGACUGGGGCAAGAGAAAGGCUACAGAACAUGUGAAGAGUAAAUGAGAGAGAGCAUGAAGGAGUGAAUGAGAGAGUACAUGACAGAGCUAAUGUAAGAACAAAUGUGAUUGCAAAUUCGAGAGCAUGAGAAGAGCAUGUGAAGAGUGAGUGGAGAGAGAAUGUGGAGAGUGAAUGAGGGAGCUAAUGAGGGAGGGAGUCUGAGAACAAAUGUGAGAGCCAGGGAGAGAGCAUGAGGA
Rattus norvegicus (Norway rat) is the source of this 7623-nucleotide non-coding RNA. The record is from RefSeq and is a predicted model, not a curated record. Lineage: Eukaryota; Metazoa; Chordata; Mammalia; Rodentia; Muridae.